GGCAUCUUGAUCAUUAAUUUACGAUCUUUAUUCUCUUCUGAAAUGAUGACACGGAUACUUAAGAUUCCUCUUCCACAGGGGUCAUGGUCUGAUCAGAAGGUUUGGGGACCUACUAAGCUCACUACAAUUUCUCUAAAAGAUAUAUCCAAGUUAUUCACUUCCAAUCACCAAAAUGAUAAUCAGUUCCGGUGUAAUUGGGUUUGGAAGCUACCGAGAACUCCAAGGGUGAAAACUUUCUGGUGGCGUC
RNAcentral lists this long non-coding RNA (247 nucleotides) under Elaeis guineensis (African oil palm). Its description in RNAcentral is "long non-coding RNA (EGUI_LNC012084)". Lineage: Eukaryota; Viridiplantae; Streptophyta; Magnoliopsida; Arecales; Arecaceae. The record is from RNAcentral.